RNAcentral lists this unclassified non-coding RNA (682 nucleotides) under uncultured Prochlorococcus sp. RNAcentral describes it as "partial may contain 16S ribosomal RNA, 16S-23S ribosomal RNA intergenic spacer, and 23S ribosomal RNA". The stretch from base 1 to 97 matches the Rfam family "Bacterial small subunit ribosomal RNA", at positions 1437 to 1533 of the family's 1533-position model. Lineage: Bacteria; Bacillati; Cyanobacteriota; Cyanophyceae; Synechococcales; Prochlorococcaceae. The record is from RNAcentral.
ACCCUUGUGGAGGAGGACGCCGAAGGUGGGGCUAAUGACUGGGGUGAAGUCGUAACAAGGUAGCCGUACCGGAAGGUGCGGCUGGAUCACCUCCUAACAGGGAGACAACAAAAUGUUUAAUAUUAUUAUUUUGUCACCUUAGGUCGAUCGGUAUCUCACUUUCUUAACUUAUUAAGAAUUUCAUUUCCUAAGUUUUUCUAGGUCACACCCAUUAUUUUUCCUGGGCCAUUAGCUCAGGUGGUUAGAGCGCACCCCUGAUAAGGGUGAGGUCCCUGGUUCAAGUCCAGGAUGGCCCAUAUCUCUAUGUUGGGGGUAUAGCUCAGUUGGUAGAGCGCCUGCUUUGCAAGCAGGAUGUCAGCGGUUCGAGUCCGCUUACCUCCACUGAUUACCACCUCUUCCAUAAUCUGUAGAAGGAAAAAUUAUUGAGUUGUGAUCAAAUUCUGAACGAAUCUAGCUUCCUAAUGAAAUCAUUAAGAUGCUGGACUCAUUGAAUUAAUUUCAUUGUUUUCAGAGAACCUUGACAACUGCAUAGAUUAUUUUUAAAGACAAUAAGCAUCUUUAAUGAUGCAGAUUUAUUAUUUGUGCGAAUGCAUUAAUAACAAUUCUAUUAAGCUGAUGCUUCAAUUUUGAAGUUAUUGGUCAAGCUACAAAGGGCUCACGGAGGAUACCUAGGCACACAGAG